RNAcentral lists this small RNA (72 nucleotides) under Methylobacterium sp. B4. Its description in RNAcentral is "suhB". The record is from RNAcentral. Lineage: Bacteria; Pseudomonadati; Pseudomonadota; Alphaproteobacteria; Hyphomicrobiales; Methylobacteriaceae.
CCCGCCUGCCCUUUUCGGGCGUUUCCUCCCUAGACUUCGAACCGCCUCCGGGUCCGCCGUUUUUCCGCCACA